Molecule: long non-coding RNA, 6148 nt
Filed under: Lactuca sativa (garden lettuce)
Lineage: Eukaryota; Viridiplantae; Streptophyta; Magnoliopsida; Asterales; Asteraceae
Description: long non-coding RNA (LSAT_LNC006808)
Source: RNAcentral
UCUCCAACUCAAGUUCCUGCACAAAAUCAACUCAAGUUCAUCAUGCUUCCAUGCCAUUUUAUUCAUUUAUAAUUCAACUUUGGAGCUAUAAAAAGGGUUGUUACCUUAUUCAUAUACUUUUCAACCACAGAAGGAAUAUCUGAUCGAGGUUUAUAGUUUCCAAAAAAAGUUCCCUUCAGAGUCCUUUCGUUCAACAGAUUCAAUGGACUUGUCUUGAAAACAGCAUCUUUAUGUGGAACACCCACAAGAACAGCAACACCCCAACCCUGUAAAAUUUUCAAUAUUUGUUAUUGUGAAAUUAAACAUGAAUCAUUAUAUGAGUGAGAUCGAAUUGAUUGAAUUCAUACAUCAUGAACACAUUCGAAGGCAGAUAUCAUAGCAUCAAUAUGACCAGUGCAUUCAACACUCCUGUCAACUCCUCCAUUUGUCAUCUCUGCAAUCACUUCCUGUACUGGUUUUUUGUAGUCUUUAGGGUUCACAAACUCAGUCACUCCAAAUUUCUUUGCUGUUGAAGCCAAAAAAAUUUACAUCAGAUUCAUCAAUCAUAUCAUAUGUCUAGUUUUUAUUUACAAUUUCAUGCAGCAAAAUCUUACCAAGCUCAAAUCUGUUGGCAUUGAGAUCAACACCAAUGAUCCUUGAAGCACCUGCAAUUCUUGCACCUUCAGCAGCCUGAUCACAAACAAACCAUUAGCUUUGUUUAGCCAUGAAUGAGCUUUUAUUUCGAGAAAGUUAGAUAUUUAAGAAAACUUACAGCAAGCCCCACAGCUCCCAAUCCAAAAAUGGCGACAGAUGAGCCUUUUUUAGGCUUUGCAACGUUCAGAGUAGCACCAAGACCUGAAGAAAACAUGAAUAUUGAUUAGGUCAGGAAAACACCAAAAUGCAAUUGUAAUCAGAGAAUGUUGAUUACGAUUUUGAUUUUGUACCUGUGGAGAUCCCACAACUGAGGACACAGACUUUGUCAAGAGGAGCAAGAGGCUUGAUUUUGGCGAGACAACCAACAUGAACGACGGUGUAUUCACUGAAAGUUGAAGUUCCGACGAAAUGGAAAAUGGGUUUUCCGUUGAUGGAAAAUCGGGAUUUUUGAUCGUGAAUCAUGACUCCCCUGUCGGUGUUGAUUCUCAAAAGGUCACACAUGUUGCUCUCUUCCGACUUACAGUGAGCGCAUUCUUUGCAUUCUCCGGUGAAAACAGGGAGGACAUGAUCUCCGGGCUGAAGCUCAGUCACUCCUUCCCCGACACUCUCCACAACCCUGUUCACGUCAGUUCAAUUGAUCAGAUUUUUUAUCCGAUUACAAAACCUUUUCGAUUUAAUACAAGAAUCAAACAUACCCUCCAGCUUCAUGUCCUAAAAUUCGGGGAAACACGGGAUUCUGACCCUGAAAAGUUCAUCGGAAGGUAACCAAGAUUCAGGAUUUGAGGUUUUGACAGAGAUUUAAGUAAAAGGGCCAGUAGAUUGGUUACCUUGGCUUCCCAAAAGUAAACAUCGGUGUGGCACAGGGAGGUGAAGAGUAUUUUGAUUCGAACUUCCAUUUUUUGGGGUGGCGCCACCUCCACUUCUUCAAUCACUAGUGGCUUUCCGGCUUCCCAUGCUACCGCCGCUGUCACAUUUACACUCAUCAUCAAGCACCGUACCAAACUUUUUCUUCUUGAUAGGGAAAUCACAAAAGAAAGAAUGAAAUGCUUACCUUUGCAUCGAAUCACCUGGUUAGUAGUGCUCGACAUUUAAUCUUUUUUUGUUAUCUGAUCGCUGAAACAGAGAAUCUGAAAACAACUUCAGUUGAGUUUGCUAAUUGCUUGAUAUGAAGGAGAAAUCUGAAGAAUUGUGUAUUUAUAGGUCGAGGGAGUGUAUAUACCAAAACUGUAAACCGACCACCAGGUUUUGAUUUGCCGGGUUUCCAUCGAUGAAGCCGUUGACAGGUUAAACCCACCGUUUAACGAAAACAAGAAACUGUAAAGUACCACUGAUGGUGGUUUUCCUUUGAAGAAUAUAUAGAUUGGGCCCACAGAGUCUCCAACAUUAAAAACAUUAAGAGUAAAUUACAGCGAUGGUCCCUGUUAUUUCUAAUUUCUAGCGUCCUUAGUCCAAAACUAAAGUUGUUUUCGAAUUUUAGUUGUUAUUUCAAGUUUUGUAUCGAUUUUUGUCCUUGGAAUUGACCUCGUUAAAUUCUUGGUGAUAUUGUCCUCACGUGAAAUUGUGCAUUACACCAAAUGUUUUAAAAAUCGGUUUUUUAGUUGAAUCAGCCUGGUAACCGAUUCAUGGUUAAAUCGUCGAUUCAACCAAAAAAGUUUCCUACAUCUGACAGUGUUAUGUGUCGGCCUUCGAGUUGUGUACACUCUAAAAAUGUUAAAUUUCUUUAGAAAUAUGUUGUUUUUCAACGGGUUAAGUAAAAUCCAACUAUACAAGUUUAAUAAACUAGUUCAAAUGGUUUUUUACCGGUUUUAACUCAGUUUUUGAAUAAAUCGUCCAGUUUGAUCCAAUCUAAAAAUUAACAUAAAACCGGUCAUUAUUGAACCGUUCUCGUCUCAAGAUCCCGGCUCAACCAGUUUUUAAAACAUUGAUUACACUUGAGGACGUGUUACUUGUUUUGCUUUUUUUAUCGCUAUCUAUUAAUAAAUUAUUUGCCGUUUCCAAAAAAAAUCUAUUAAUAUAAACAUAUCUAACGUUUAUUUCUUGUUAACUUUUUUUUCUUUAUCAUAUAUCUCCUUUACUAAUACAUCCUAUUGGAAAAUUGGUUAUUUUUCAUUUUUGAGCAUUAAUUUCAAACUAUAAAUAUAAUCAAAAUGGAUAAAUGAUUAUAUGUUUGUCUUCUCCCCUAGUAUACAUUUAUUUUGAUAUAUCACAUGUCCAAAACGGAUUUAAAAUAAAUGAAAAUUUGUAUGUUAAAAUGAGGUGUUUGAAAGAAAUUAACAAAUGAAUUAAUUGGCUUUUAUUUCAUUCCACAUGGGUGGGAGCAUGAAAAGAAAAUGAGUUUAUAAUUACAAAGACUUAUUAUUCUUGUAAAUGUGAACAAGAGGCUCUCUUUUGCACGCAUACCGGGUGCAAAUGUGAAUAAGAUUGGUUUUGGUUCACUGAACUUAUAUGUGGAGUGUUAUGAUGAGUGUGAGCAACAGAUGCUCAUAUACCUCCCAUGUCACUGAGAUUGUCAUCACCAAAGAAAGUUAGACCUGGUAUCUAAUUUAAAAUCCAACAAAAAUUUAUAGUUGAUUGAGUGUUGAUUCUUAAGUUCUAUUAGGUAUUAUUUUGGUUUUGAAGCCAUGACAUCUCAAAGCUAUUUGUACGGCGGCGCUCUAUCUUUUUGAUGUACAUGAACUAUUGACUAUUAUUAGCUUUGUUGAUCUUCUAAUGCUUAACUUUUGGUUUUUUUUUUGGUUGUUGAGUGUUGAUUCUUAAGUUUUAUUAGGUGUUAUUUUGGUUUUGAAGCCAUAGCAACUAAAAACUAUUUGUAUGAUGGUGCUUCCAAUGGUGAUCUAUCUUUUUGAUGUACAUGAACUACUAGCAUUGUAAAUGUAAAUGGUUAGAUUAAGGUUUUUUUUUUGUAGGUUGAAGAUUUUAUUGGAGAUAGUUACUACUUACAAAGAGCAUUGUAAAUGGGAUUCAUAGAUAGAUGGUGAGAUUGGUGUGUGGUGGUGAUUAGUGACACUGUAAAUGGGAGUCAGUGGAUGUGGGUUGGAGGCCGAAGGAUUGUCAGUGGGAGGCGGUUGUGGUUUUGGUUUCGGAGGAGUAAGGGCAGAGAGAUGAACCAUUGUGGGUGAUGAAAAUAAAAGGGAUGCGGUUUGGGUUUUUUUUCUUUAAUUAAAAAACGUUUUAUGAAAAAAGAAAUGUUUGGGUUUUUUUGUUUAAUUAAAAAACGUUUUAUAAAAAAAGAAAUGUAUAUUAAUCAUUUAAUAAAUAUUAAUUGAUAUUUUUAACCGUAUUAGUCAUAAGAAACAGAUUUUCUAUUCUUAAAGAUCACUUCGUAUCAAAAUUCUCAUAAGGACUGGAACCUUUUGUAAACCAACAAGACCAUUUAUAUAAUUUUUUCUAUAUUUUACUUUUAAGUCAUACUAAUUUAGUAUUAUAUGUUUUUAUAAAUAACAUUAUUUCUCUUAUUUCUUAUUGUAGUAACGCUAUAAUUUUAAAAUUGUAAAAUAUUUACAAGUGUUAGAUUACAUCAGGGGCGCAACUAGGGGUUUUAGGGGUAGCAGGUGGUACUCCUUCAAUUUUUCGGUUUUAAUUUUUUUCCAAUGUAGUGUACAAUUUUCAAUGUGCUACACCUUGGACUUUUAUGGUUGUGCUACUGGAUCUCAUAUUAUUAUUAGAAAGUUAAGCACCUUAUUAUUUUUUUAGAACAACAACUUUAUUAAGUAAAACUAGCAAGACGCUAGAAAGAAAAAUAGUUACAUGGAAGUAAUAGACAAAAUUGGAUCCUGCAACGAGACAACCCAAUUGACAAGUAGUUUUACGACACCUACUACUAGCCCAAAUGAAAUUUUGAGUCAUUAGCUUAUCAAACAAUAAACAUUUUCUAGGCUUGACUUUACCAAAAAGUAAAGCAGUUCUAAAACACCAAAUCGACCACCAAAGAGUAAAACAAACUGCCUCUAGAAAAUCUUGACAAAUUGAAGACAAACGCAAAGCGACAAUUCAGGCAAACCAAUCUUGGAAAAAAAAACAAAGUAGGCGUCUGAACAUUCCAUCAUAUGCAAACAAGAUUCAAUAAGUCUCUAGCUAAAUCACAUUCGAAGAACAAGUGUAUAUUAGUCUCAACUUCCUUCUCGCAAAUAGGGCAUAAAAUAGAAUUAAUGUCAAUCCCUCUUUGAGAUAAGUUAUACCGAGAAUGUAAUUUGUUCAAAAAAGAUGACAAACAAAAACAUUAACUUUAAUAUGCAUAAGGCGGCACCAUCUAGUCACUGUAUGCGAGACAAUAAAAAGAUUUUUUAUCGAUUAACAGAGCUCACAGAGAAAGAGUUGGAACCAUUGAGCGACCAACUCCACCUAUCUGCAGACGAAGAAAGCAAAACCGAGGACAUCAAGUCUGAAAUUAGACCAUUGCUCAACCUUUAUCCCCUCUUAGUUUUCUUCUAAAAAAGUAUCUCAACCCGGUUGAAAGCAAAACCAAAGAAAGCACCUUGUUAUUACAUGUAAAAGAAUAUACAUAUGUUGUUAUUAGAGGUAGAGAAAUACAAAAUGCAUUGAUAUUAUAUUUAAAUAGUUACAUAUUAUGUAAAUAUAUUGUUAUCGUAAUUAAUAACAAUUAAAGUAAAAUGUUUAGUAAAUAUUCUUGUUGGUUUGAUGGUUGAAUAUUUUUGUGGUAAUAGACGCUUAUACAUAAAAAAUAAAAUAAAAUUAUAGGUACUAUCUUUAUGAAACUGAAGAUGUUGCAUUAAAGAUAAUUGGAAAGCAAUUAUAGCAAUAUAAAUUUUAUACAAAAACACUUGUAGGUAUACAAUUAGUGUUCGAAAGUGUGGUAUAUAUCGAGUUUAAGGUGACAAUAAAAAAUUAAACAGAGGAUUAAACUUUGACAAAAAUAAUCUUUCUACUACAAUGUAUGAUGCAAAAACAUUAAAAUUUACCAAGAGAAGUGAACUAAUAACUAUUGGAAUAUAUAAACUCAGGAUUUCAACACAAAAACUCUCAUACAUAAUGAAGAUCAAAGAAGACACUUGAUAGGUUAUGAAACUUGAACUAUAGUUAUACAACAUUUUAAAAAUCUUUCCACUCCAUUUAUUCACCCAUCCGAAUUAUGCAUCGGAGACCUUCACCUUUAAGCAUCAAAUCAAAAGCCUUAUUGAUCUCAGAAAAUGGCAAUUCAUGUGUAAUGAACUUCUCCAACUCAAGUUCCUGCACAAAAUCAACUCAAGUUCAUCAUGCUUCCAUGCCAUUUUAUUCAUUUAUAAUUCAACUUUGGAGCUAUAAAAAGGGUUGUUACCUUAUUCAUAUACUUUUCAACCACAGAAGGAAUAUCUGAUCGAGGUUUAUAGUUUCCAAAAAAAGUUCCCUUCAGAGUCCUUUCGUUCAACAGAUUCAAUGGACUUGUCUUGAAAACAGCAUCUUUAUGUGGAACACCCACAAGAACAGCAACACCCCAACCCUGUAAAAUUUUCAAUAUUUGUUAUUGUGAAAUUAAACAUGAAUCAUUAUAUGAGUGAGAUGAAUUGAUUAAAUUCAU